CUAAAUGCGGAAGAGAUAAGUGCUGAAAGCAUCUAAGCACGAAACUUGCCCCGAGAUGAGUUCUCCCUGACUCCUUGAGAGUCCUGAAGGAACGUUGAAGACGACGACGUUGAUAGGCCGGGUGUGUAAGCGCAGCGAUGCGUUGAGCUAACCGGUACUAAUGAACCGUGAGGCUUAACCUU
This 182-nucleotide ribosomal RNA is filed under the name Escherichia coli. RNAcentral describes it as "partial 23S ribosomal RNA". It matches the Rfam family "Bacterial large subunit ribosomal RNA", at positions 2749 to 2925 of the family's 2925-position model. Lineage: Bacteria; Pseudomonadati; Pseudomonadota; Gammaproteobacteria; Enterobacterales; Enterobacteriaceae. The record is from RNAcentral. RNAcentral also lists the same sequence under 3 other names.